RNAcentral lists this unclassified non-coding RNA (588 nucleotides) under Hevea brasiliensis (rubber tree). Lineage: Eukaryota; Viridiplantae; Streptophyta; Magnoliopsida; Malpighiales; Euphorbiaceae. The record is from RNAcentral.
AGGUGAAUAUCUUGCCAAAGAUCCUGUAACUAAUACCCCUCAUAGAAAUAAUUCUGGCAUGAAUCAUGAACAGAGUUUUGAAAAUGAACAAGAUGACCUGGCGGGAUUGGCUGAAAGGUUUAACAAUCUUAAGAGCACUAAUAAACCUAGUCAGCUGGAAUCCUCUAAAUCCAGCAGUUGUUGUGUGGAUGAUUACACACAGGGGAGUGAUUUUCAAAUGGCAGAUAGGCAUUUUAGGAAGAAUAUAUCUGAAUUAGAGAGGAGUGACCUUAAGGGUGAAGCAAAUAUAAAGGGAGAGUCUAGUGAAUCUGAGGUAGAACUUGUGAGUGAAGUGCAUGAUGAAAUGAGAUCAGAAAAUGUUGGUUAUUUUGAAGCAACCAGCAAUAGAGAACAGUCUAGCAGCGUUUCAUCUCAUUCUCAUUCUCAAAUUUCUAGGGAUGAUCACAAUGUUUUUUCGAGUUUCAGCCACCAGAAAUUUAGUGAGGAAGCUGCUAAGGAACCUUAUAUUUUUUAUGAAGGAAACUUCCAAAGAAAUACCAAAGAAACAAACCCAUUUGAUAAUGCUUCUGUGGUUUUUGAUGAUUCUGG